Drosophila biarmipes is the source of this 975-nucleotide long non-coding RNA. RefSeq lists it as uncharacterized. NCBI's taxonomy places the organism in Eukaryota, Metazoa, Arthropoda, Insecta, Diptera, Drosophilidae. The transcript is spliced from 3 exons. The record is from RefSeq and is a predicted model, not a curated record.
UCAAUGAAACGCCGUUAUUUUCCGAGAAAUUCAAGUCUUUUCAAUAAUGGCUUUUACUCUCACACUAUUGAGGCCAGCGAGAAAGCGUAUAAGCCCGUGACAUCAAGCAACACAUUUUCUUUGCUAAUUUUAAAUAAUUCGUACAACUCUCACAGACGUUGUACCCACAUGCACGGUAACUCGAUGGAAAGGAAUAUAGUUUACUAAUUAACUAAUGCGGAACGGCAAACAAAAAGCCUUCAGAUUUUGAGAAAUUUAAGUUUUUAUUUAAUAAAGGCGUUUCCCACGCGGUCACACGGUCGAGGCCAGCGAGAAAGAGUACGCACCUGUGACAUCUAGAGCUGCAAAAAAUCGAUAGUACCAUCGAUAAUAUCGAUGGUUGGCCGCUGGUCACCGACUUCGGUAUUUUUCAGACUAUCGCGAUAGUUUUACAAAAAAUUCCCAUCACUUGGACUUCGAAGGAACAAGAAGUUUUCGACAGAAAUAUUCAGAUUCUGGUGGUUGUGGUGUUGUUGUGGUUCCUUAAAAAUGGAUGGCGGUGCAAAAAGUUUCAGGUCCCCCUUUAAUGCAGAGCAAGCCGUAUCUUUGCUAGAAAAAACACUUUCUAUUCUACCCCAUACCAACAAGGAACCCAUUUUAACCACCCAACCACCGGAACCACCAAAACCGAAAUCUUCUCUCCUCAAUUUUGUAAAACAAAACAUAGAGCUUAAACAGAGGUCUAGCAAAGUUAAGUUGAUAAUGCAAAUAAGGCAGUAUUUUGAAAAAAUGAACAUUGAUUAAAAUCAGGGCCCAUUGGAAUACUGGAAGCAACAUGAAUUAGAGAUGUCCCAACUGGCUAUAAGCGCUAAGCAGGGGCUCUGCAUUCCGGCAACCUCGACAGAAUCGGAAUGGAUGUUUUCCAAAGCGGGCCUAACAAUCUGUGACCGACGGGCGUCCCUAAAGCGAAAAACCGUCCACAAAUUGUUAUUUGUU